This 30-nucleotide non-coding RNA is filed under the name Rattus norvegicus (Norway rat). Lineage: Eukaryota; Metazoa; Chordata; Mammalia; Rodentia; Muridae. The record is from RNAcentral.
AAGUGCUUGCCACCAAGUCUGAUGACCUGA